Molecule: ribosomal RNA, 867 nt
Filed under: uncultured bacterium
Lineage: Bacteria
Description: bacterial SSU rRNA
Rfam family: Bacterial small subunit ribosomal RNA
Source: RNAcentral
GAUGAACGCUAGCGGGAGGCUUAAUACAUGCAAGUUGUGCGGCAAGCAGUAGCAAUACUGCCUAGAGCGGCGUACGGGUGAGUAACACGUAUGUAAUCUGCCCCUGUCCGGGAGAUAGCCCUCCGAAAGGAGGAUUAAUAUCCCAUAACACUGCGGAACGGCAUCGUUCUGCAUUUAAAGCUCCGGCGGACAGGGAUGAACAUGCGUCCCAUUAGCUUGUUGGCGAGGUAACGGCUCACCAAGGCGACGAUGGGUGGCUGGUCUGAGAGGAUGAUCAGCCACACGGGCACUGAGAUACGGGCCCGACUCCUACGGGAGGCAGCAGUAGGGAAUAUUGGGCAAUGGACGCAAGUCUGACCCAGCCAUCCCGCGUGAAGGAUGAAGGAUCUAUGGUUCGUAAACUUCUUUUAUUGGGGAAGAAAAAGCCUGAUUUAUCAGGAACUGACGGUACCCAAUGAAUAAGCACCGGCUAACUCCGUGCCAGCAGCCGCGGUAAUACGGAGGGUGCAAGCGUUAUCCGGAUUCACUGGGUUUAAAGGGUGCGUAGGCGGCUUUAUAAGUCAUUGGUGAAAGCUCGCAGCUUAACUGCGAAACUGCCAUUGAAACUGUUUAGCUUGAAUGUGGUUGAAGUGGGCGGAAUACAACAUGUAGCGGUGAAAUGCUUAGAUAUGUUUUAGAACACCGAUUGCGAAGGCAGCUCACUAAGCCAAUAUUGACGCUGAGGCACGAAAGCGUGGGUAGCAAACAGGAUUAGAUACCCUGGUAGUCCNCNCCCUAANCGAUGAAUACUCGAUGUGUGCGCCUUGUGCGUACGCGUCCAAGCAAAAGCGUUAAGUAUUCCACCUGGGAAGUACGGCCGCAAGGUUA